UAAUACGUAGGUGGCGAGCGUUGUCCGGAUUUAUUGGGCGUAAAGGGCGUGUAGGCGGUUUCGUAAGUCAGGGGUGAAAAUCCGGGGCUCAACCCCGGGACUGCCUCUGAAACUGCGGAACUUGAGUGCUCUAGAGGGCAGUGGAAUUCCGGGUGUAGCAGUGAAAUGCGUAGAUAUCCGGAGGAACACCAGUGGCGAAGGCGACUGCCUGGGGAGUAACUGACGCUGAGGCGCGAAAGCUGGGGGAGCAAACAGGAUUAGAUACCCUGGUAGUCCCAGCCGUAAACGAUGAGUGCUAUGUGUGAGGGGUAUCGACCCCCCUCGUGCAGCAGUUAACGCAAUAAGCACUCCGCCUGGGGAGUACGGCCGCAAGGUUG
This 377-nucleotide ribosomal RNA is filed under the name uncultured bacterium. RNAcentral's name for it is "bacterial SSU rRNA". It matches the Rfam family "Bacterial small subunit ribosomal RNA", at positions 521 to 896 of the family's 1533-position model. The record is from RNAcentral.